This 323-nucleotide ribosomal RNA is filed under the name uncultured eukaryote. RNAcentral describes it as "partial 18S ribosomal RNA". It matches the Rfam family "Eukaryotic small subunit ribosomal RNA", at positions 1470 to 1796 of the family's 1831-position model. The record is from RNAcentral.
CCCUUAGAUGUUCUGGGCGGCCCGCGCACUACAAUGGCGUGUACAGCGAGCGCCGAAGUAGAGUUUUCCGAGGUAUUCUUGCAAUGCUCGUUUUGAUGGGGAUAGACCCUUGCAACUGUUGGUUUUGAACGAGGAAUUCCUUGUAAGCAUGGUUUAUCAUCCGACGCUGAAUGCGUCCCUGCCCUUUGUACACACCGCCCGUCGCUCCUACCGAUUGAGUGGUCCGGUGAGGCUUUGGGAUCUGAGCGGAAAGAGCGUUUCGCUGUUUCUGCUCGGAAAACUCAGUCGAACCUUAUCAUUUAGAGGAAGGAGAAGUCGUAACA